CCCAGACUCCUACGGGAGGCAGCAGUGGGGGAUAUUGCACAAUGGGGGGAACCCUGAUGCAGCGACGCCGCGUGGGUGAGGAAGUACCCCGGUAUGUAAAGCCCUUUCGGCAGGGAAGAAAAUGACGGUACCUGGCGAAGAAGCCCCGGCUAACUACGUGCCAGCAGCCGCGGUAAUACGGAGGGUGCGAGCGUUAAUCGGAAUUACUGGGCGUAAAGCGCUCGUAGGCGGUAUGUCAAGUCAAGGGUGAAAUCCUCGCGCUCAACGUGGGAACUGCCUUUGAAACUGGCAAACUGGAGUGUGUGAGAGGAUAGUGGAAUUCCAGGUGUAGGAGUGAAAUCCGUAGAUAUCUGGAGGAACAUCAGUGGCGAAGGCGACUAUCUGGCACAUAACUGACGCUGAGGAGCGAAAGCGUGGGUAGCAAACAGGAUUAGAUACCCCGGUACGC
This 448-nucleotide ribosomal RNA is filed under the name uncultured bacterium. RNAcentral's name for it is "bacterial SSU rRNA". It matches the Rfam family "Bacterial small subunit ribosomal RNA", at positions 330 to 794 of the family's 1533-position model. The record is from RNAcentral.